UUAAAAAAAGGGAACCUAGGGGAAGAGUUUUGAUGUGACACUGAGCGGAACCAUAGUUCAGGGUCACGGGGUCAUGGCGGGGAGAAAAGGCGGCACCGAGGCAAGUGGGGGACGUGAUACAGGGCACACCGGGGCCCCCUGGCGGCGGGGGGCUGGUUCUGGGUAGACCUGGUGUCUGUGGGGCACCCAGGCGUCCGAGGGGAACGUGAAGGAGGUUUGGCAGGUGAGGGUCCACUGCAACUUGCAGAUCUCCCUCAGUUUCCACCAGAACUCCAGCUCACAGGGACGAUGUUGCUCUGCAGCUGCUCGGGACAACCCAGCGUCUCACGUAGAACAAAAUUCUUUGUGCCGCGCGCAUGUGUUCUGUCUUUGAAAUAAAGACGCGCUGCCCGGUGUUUCAGCGUUACAUGUCGUACCAGCUGGGGUGAAUCUGUCCUCCCCACAGCUCACGGUUGUUUCCAUCAUGUCGCCACAGCCUCAGCAGCAUCCCGGUUUCAUUGGAUGAGUUGUUGGCGGAGCCGACAGUCGACAAUCUCCAGUCACAUCGAGGCACUCUGGUGUUUUUUCCUUAAAAUUCCAAGGCGCUUGGUUUCUAUUAUUUUAAUUUUAACUACUUAAUUACUGUGAAACAUUUAGAAUAAAAACUCAACUAAGAGUAACUAGAAGAGGCUUUGGGAGUAAAUAAUGCCUAUAAUCUACUCUAUUACUUAAAACUCUGCAGGCAGUGAUUACCCCCAACUUACAAAAUAAAAUUAAAAAUAGCAGAGCACUAAUUAGAAGUACCACCUGUAGAGAAAAAAACCCUAGUUCAUAUUAAAAAUAAAAAAAUGUGUGUUGGUUAAUCCACUUAGUAGUAAGGGAACAAAUAAAAUGUUAGAGUGUAAAUAAAUAAAAGUAAUCUUAUUUACAGGGGUUCUAGAGCAGGUUCCAGGUCAGCACAUGGUUCUAGAGUAGGGUUGGGUUCUGAGUUUGGGGGAGUUCCUAGAAUCCAGUUCAGGGGGUGUUCAUGUUUUUGCAUUUCUUCGAGGGUUUGUGGUACUUGUUGAUGACAGCGGGGCAAUCCCUGGGAAGGGCUGGGGAGCCCUGGGGAACUGAGCAGAGCCCUGGAGAGGAACGGGAAGCCCUGAGGAGCCAAGACAAGUUUUGGGGAACCAUGGUGAGCCCUGGAGAGGGCUGGGAAGCCCAAGAGAGAUGAAGCAAGGCUUUGGUAGCCCUGGGGAACCAAGGCGCACACUGGGCAGGACUUGGGAGCCUUGGGGAACUGAGGUGAGCCCUGCAGAGGACUGUGGAUCUCUGGGGAGCCCUAGGGAGAUGAGGCGAGGCCUGGGGACAAUCCGGGAAGCCCUGGGGAGAUGAGAGGAGUCCUUCUGUAGUCCUGGGGAGGCAAAGCAAGCCCUGGUUUACUUUUUAGAAAAGAUUCUGUGGAAUCUAAUUCUGCUUUGUUAUUUAGUCCUACCCAGAAUGUAGUUGUGGUAGAAGUUAGGCAGUAUGUGUGGUCUUGCUAGAAAUUCAGUGUAAUGCAAUAGCAUUUUAAUGUUUUAUAGAAAAUUUCAGCACAGAAUUUUAAUAAUAAUAUAGUUACUGCAUUUAGUGAGCUACAUUUUUACAUAGUUUAGCAUGCCAUCUAUCUUUUUCUCUCUAUGCCCUAGAAAAAUUAAGUUUAAAUUCUUACUCAGUCACAUUGCAGAUGCAAUAGAUGUAGUAAAAGAGCAGGUAUUGUAAUUUCUGGUAGGUGUCCAGGUGAUUGUGGUCAGGGUGGUGGGCAAGGCCUGGGGUAUAUGAGUCACAGCCUCUCCUCAAGGAGCUCAGUCUGCUCCUGGGCUGCUUUGGUGUUGGUGUUCUGUGUCUCCUUUGUUCCUGCUCUUCAGUAGUUUGCAGCUUUUGAGCUGUCUGAGCUAGAAAAAUGGAGGCGUGUAUUUGAGCUAAGAGCUUCAGGACCAAUCAAGGUUCAGUAGUGUAUAUAAUAGGAAGAAUGUUUGUAAGUGGAUUUUGUCUGGCUUUUGUUUUGCUUAGUAGGUGUGUGUGGUGAUUUGGGUUUUUUUGUUGUUGUUUUGGUUUGGUUUUGCUUGUUUGUUGCAGAUGAUGAGGAGGAACCUGGUGACUCCAGGAAGAUCCCCGUGAGUUGAUGUGGUGUUUUUUUCUGCGGAGGAUGGAUUCAGACCCCUGGCCCUCUAAAAGCUAAGUGGAUGGACUGGGGCUGGGGAGGCUCUGGGAUCUGCAGGGAGGGGUUGCAGGAACAACCUUGGGACAGCUAAAGGGUGCAGGUAACUUUUUAGCAUAAUGCUAGCUUGUGCCAGGCAGGGCAGCUCCAGCCUGUGUCUGUGUCAUUGUGUAGUUUGGGAAGUCUGCCUUGUGCCUGUUAGAUGUUCCUUGGGCCUUCAUAGAAUCAUAUAAUAGAAUCAUAGAAUGUCCUGAAAUGGAAGGGACCCAACAGGACCAUCAGGUCCAACUCCUGUUCCUACACAUGACAACCCCACAGUUCACACCAUGUGUCUGAGGGCAGUGUCCAGACUCUUCUUGAACACUGUCAGGCUUGGGGCCAUGACACCUCCCUGGGGAGCCUGUUCCAAUGCUCCACCACCCUCUGGGGGAAGAACCUUUUCCUAAUAUCUAACCUAAACCUCCCCUGGCACACCUUCCUGUCAUUCCCUCGGGUUCUGUUGUUGGUCGCUAAAGAGAAGAGUUCAGCACCUGCCCUUCCUCCUCCCCUUGUGAGGAAGCUGUAGACUGUGAUGAGGUCUCCCCUCGGUCUCCUCUUCUCCAGGAUGAACAAGCCAAGUGACUUUAGCUGCUCCUCAUACAGCUUCACCUGCGAACCCUUCACCAACUUCAUAGCCCUCUUCUGGGCACUCUCCAGUAGCUUUAUAUCCUUUUCCUGCAGCUGGAGGAACUGGUUUUGCUACAAAGUUUGAGGUAAUUCUUUUCAGCCUCUGAUACCCCCCGGGGUAUCAGCAUGACCCCAAGGUCAUCCCAAGACACUCACCCCCUCAGCCCCAGCAUGACCCCAACAGCACCCCAGAACCCCCCAGGGACCCUCCCUGCAUGACCCCAGGGGUCAUUUCGAGACCCCCCUCCAGCUCGAUUCCAGGGUCACCCCAGGACACCACCAGCAUGACCCUGUUGUCAUCCUGAGACCCCCAUGACAUGCCUGGGUCACCACAGGGCCCUCCAAGGACCCUCCCUGCAUGACCCUGAGGUCAGCCUGAGACCCGCCAUGGGACCCGCCCAAGAUGACCCCGGGAUUGACUCUAGAUCCACCAGCAUGAUUCCAGGGUCAUCCUGAGAUCCCCCCAGCCUGAUCCUGUGGGUGACGUGACCCACCCAGCUCAGCCUCUGGCACUGGAUACCAGCCGGUGCCAGCUCGUGUGCAACCAUCCCUGAGGCAGGAGCAGAAGCCAAUCAUGGCGCCAGAUUGAAAGGACUCCCUGUUCUCACACCACUGGGCCAGCAGUCUGCAAUGCCUUUAUAAAUUACUUAGACACAGGACCUGAGGGAAUACUUAGUAAGUUUGCUGAUGACAUAAAAUUGGGAGGAGCUGUCAACACUUUUCAGGGCAGAGAGGUCCUAAAGAGGGAUCUGGACAAAUUGGGGAAAUGAGCAACCACAUGAAGUUCAACCAGGGCAAGUGCGGGAUUUUGCACCUGAGACAUGGCAAUGGGAUGGGCAAUGCUCUCAAAUGGGAUCUUGUCAGAGACUGAACAGCUAUCACACAAAUGGUAAAAUUCAACAACUUCAAAUAGAAAAAAGAUGGCUUCUUUCUAAGAAAGCAUGAGAAGGGAAGUGGAAACUCUACUUGUGCUGUUCUUUGCAGGAAGCUCUGUGUGUAUAGCUGUGUUGGGUGGGUUCCAAAAGCCACUGGUUAGACAGGUUGGCCUGUAGCAGCAGUUGCAGAUGGAGUGCUCUGCAUCCCGUGUCCUCCUUUCUCUCCCACUUCUCACUUGGGCUCCUUCCACACUGUAUGAAGGAGGCAGGUUGGCCACAGCCAUGUUGCACAAGAAGAGCUAACUAUGGCUGUUUCUUGAGUGUAGACAGGGCUUAAUUCAGCCAUUCUGUGAUGAGUUAUUAUAGUUUGGGCAGACUCUCCUAUAAUUUCAGAAAGGGCAUGUCAACAUCGUGUACUUCUUGCAAGACAUGCUUUUAAGUAGGGUGCAGCUGCAUUGUAUUUUCAGUCCAUUCCUUUGCUGCUUUUAUGAGAAAAUAUGUCUAACUCAUUUAUGGCAAUACUGAGCAGCAAUAACUUUAGAUUUAUGGGGCACCCAGUGUUUAGAUGCCUUGGGGUGCCUGACAGACUAUAGCUUAAAAUGUGGCUGCUUAAAAAACAAAUAGAACUGAUGGAGAAACAAAAACUCUCUUAUGUGAUGAAUAGAAUAGCAUCCCAUAAACAACAUCAAACCCAAACUGUCUGCAGCCUGACCCAGAGCAGUGCCAUUGUUCUCUGAAAUAUCAGAGAGGAGCAUGCACUUGAGCUAAGAGAAAGCAUUUGUACAGGCAGGCUUCUCACAUGGUAAAACAGAACCGGCUACAGCUUUAGGCUGAGCAGUAGGAUUUGUUUGCCUUGUUAACCAAGGGUUAAUACUUCAGAAAGGAAAUAAAAUACAGUGGCAGACAUAUUUUGCAUGUCUUUUUGUAGCUAAUACUUUUAUUUGAAAAGCAUAUUUUUCAAAGUAUACGUGUCCUCUUAUCAUUAGAUUAAUUUGUACAUAUACAUACAUCUUGCUACUGGUCCUUCUUCUCUACCAAUUUCAGAUAGCUAUAGAACUCCUAUGAAAAACUCCUUACUGAAUUUAAUCUGCUCUUAAAACCAACUUCUGCCCCAAAGCAUGGGUUUAUAGGCUUGUUUCAAGCUUUUAUAUCAGCCUCUGUUCUUGGUGAAUAGUGGAAGUUGUUCCUGAGCGUGCCAUGUGAGAUCCUUUUUCCCAAUUAUUCUGGUGUCUCCAGACUUCAUCUCAGUUUUGUGAAGCUAAGUGGGUCUAUAAAGUUUAAAUAGAAGGCUUUGUCUGAAAGAGUGAACUUGUUGGAAUCAUUCUGCUGUCACUUGUAAGGAAGAAUUUAUUUCUAUCCCAAUUUUGAAAAUAUAAAAAUAAUGAAGGUAAUAAAAAAGAGAUUAUGACAAAACUGAGUAACUUCACUGAGCAAUGUUAAGCCACACAAAAUAUCUGAAUUAACACAACUUAAUAUUUGAAAUAACUAUUGGCUUUCUUAAUUUUUCUUUCUGUUUGCUUGUUUUUCUGAUGUACAUGAGUAAUUUCACAGUUGACUCUCAUAGACCUUGGCAACAUUAUCUGGAAAUCAUUUGAGCCACAGUGGUAUACUUGAAGAUUGCUGCUUCUUACAUCUUUUAAGUCCAUCCUGACAUCUUGUAUAAUACAGGCUUGGAAAUAAGACUCUUACAGUUAAAUAGAUUAUCCCACUAAGUAUUGUGAAAGACUACCUUGUGUAAAUUUUCUUUACAACAACAACAGGAGUACUAUCUUUGUAGUUUUCUUAUUUGACAUUGUGACUGUAUCCAGGGGAUGGUGGCAGGGGUGCAGUUAGUCAUUCUCUCCAGUCUGGCAUAAAAUUUCCUAAACUGUGCAUUUCACAAUCUUGUAUCUACCUCAUGGCAUCCCAGUUAACGAUGUUAAUGUGAAAUGCAGUGCCCCAAGACAUGCAAUAGCCUGAAACUUGCAUGUUAUAGCAUAAAAAAAUAUUUCUAUCUGCCUGAUGGAUGGUGAAAUUUUAAAUAGUUACAAUCUAAAGCUGUUAUCUACAAAGAUUAAUAGAGGAUAUGAGAGGGCACAAGUUGUUAAAGAAAUUGAUGCUGUUCAGUGGGUGGUCAUAAAUCAGAAAAAUUGUUCUUGAAAUCAGUUCAUCGGAAUGUUGUUACACUUGCGUAUUGGAGAGAUUAAAAAAAAAUCUUAUUUUUUGAUGAUAUUUCCUUUCUGUUUCCUUGCAUUUUAAGAUGCUUCCCAUCUGUUUACUUCAGUUUCUGCAAAACUGUAAGCUAUAUGGGUAGAUGUGUUGCUUCAAAACUAAAACAAACCUCACAAGCAUAUACAGGACAUAUCAACGGGUACAGAAAAUGGAAUUAUAUGAGACAGAAUACUUUUCCCACCAGACUUUGAGAAGCUUAGUACUUCAACUGAGGAACCACCAGAAGAUAAAACCUGUUUACCUGUCGCUGCAGUAAAAACAGGAAUGUUAUCUUAGGCAAUCAGCAAGAAUGUGGUGAUGAUUGUUUGAACCUUUGAAAAAGUGCAUUGUCUAUAUUAUAAUCUCUGCUCCAAAGAUCAUUGAUAACAUAGAGUUCAUGUGAGAUGAUAAAAUUCACAAAUAACUACCUAUAUUUUUCAUGGAAAAUAAUGGAGGAUAUGAUAUAGCUUCUGAAAUACACACUUGUUAACUAUCUGAAAAGUCAAAGGUUGCCAGAUGGGCAUUUUCACAUUAAUUACAAAUCUAGCACAAUCUACCACUUACAGAAUUUCUGAUAUUUUUCCCGAGCUGCCCCAUUAAUUCUUUCUGGAAAUGUAAUGACAGCGUAAUUAGAAGUGCCUUAAUGUUGUAGAGUCUGCUGAGUCCCUUUGGCUAUUGAUUAUCCAGGGGCACCUUGGUAAGCAGAACACUGAACCUUGCACACAAGUAUUUGAGUAGACUGAUGAUCUUCAAUGCUAGUGGCAUCUACAUUCAUGGAAAUUAGGUGUCAUCAGGCUAACUUCCUAUCUUUCUUUACUAAGAUGUCCAGGUGUAUGGAUAAUAUUAGUAACUUUGAUGACUCAUGGAAGACAAGAUUCAGUGCUACUGAACAGAAUGAGCAAAAUUUAAGUUUAUACGGCAUUAAUAAGGUUGAUGUCAGAUGUGCACAUAUCUGAACAAUGGAUCUCAAAGACAUUCGAAGCUAGAAUUCUUGGCAAUGUUGUGAUCUUUAAGGACUUUCACAUCCUUCCCCACUACUCUGCUAAUGCCAGUUAUAGAUCAGACUAUGAAAAAAUACUCUUUAACAACUGUAUAAAAGUGCACCAGAGAUACACUCUCAUCUGCAAUGUGAGAGGAAACUCUUUCAUAUUUUCAAACUUUCUGAUUAUUGUGAUGUCCACUAAUCACUUUCAAAAAAUUAUUUCUGUUAAUUUAGAUUAAGACCUCUGGACCAUGACAUGAGGCUCAAGGAAAAUAGACAAACAAGAACCUUACUUGGUGUCAUCGGACUUCAGCUAACAUUACAGUUUUCCUCCGUGGUACUACAGAUAAACACAAUGGUGCUGUAUCAGGCAUGAGAAACACUAAACAUUACAGAAAGGAGCAAUAGUGAACAGAAGAUAAGAUGGAAUGUUCCUUCCCUCUAGUGUUGAAACUAAAUACAUGUAAUGGGGAUGAGCUGUGUGAUUUGAUAUGACUUCUGAAAAUGAUCAAUCAUAUCCUCACAUUUCAGUCAGGUUUUCAGUGUGACAAGACCCUGGAUCUUGUAUGCAAGUUUUCCAUGUUAAUGUUUUUAGUUUUCACCAAAGUUUUUCACCGCUUUUAUUUCCAUUAAACUUUGAGAUGAUUUUCCUAUAGAAAUAUGGUCCUCUUUUUGACUAACACUUUUUUUUUGGUUAGAGUCUUUUCUUGACUGAAUGUUCUAGCUCACUACAUUACUCAGAUGUUGCAUUGCAUUAAGUCGUAUUCAAAACAACUUGUGAAUUCUGUAAGUUCUGUCUUCCUAGGAUCUGGAUUAUUGAAACACUUUAAGACUGCAUAACACUGACUGUUAACUCUUGCUUCAGUUUUGGCCUGACAUAUAGCUCAUACCAAGGACUGAUGUAUACCAGGUGCAGUGCCAUUAGGUCAAAGCCAGACCAACAUGUUGGCUGGAUGCAAUGGACAGGGAGGAUAGAGGUCACUAUGCAGCCAUGGUCACCAGCAGCUUGCUGUCUACUGCAGAUAACACAUCCUGCAUCCUUGCGGAGCAGUUGCCUGGAAGUUUCUUCAUAAUCCACUAACUAAUGGAAAUGGUAUAGACCAAACUUCCAAGCUGGAAGGUAGAAAUACAUCAGCUUACCCAAAAAAGCUUUUGAAGCAGAUCCAACAGCAGUGGGACUGCUGAGGCAUUCAUGCUUCCCAGAACGAUGCAGGGGAGGAGGAGGAAGAAUGAGAUCUCUUGCCAUCAGCUAGGCAACCAUUCUCUUUAUAGUUGUGCAAGUUAGGAAUUAGGGAACUUGUAAGAGAAUCCACGAAUUAAAGAAAUAAAGAAUGACUGAAUUCAUGUGUUAGACUAGUCUGUAUGCAGGGAAUUGAGACACUGUCUUGUUUGGUUUUCUUUUUGCUAAUGAGUUCAUAAAAUAACGAUUAAUUUAUGGAGUACAUUGUCCUGUAAAUUUGAGAUAUUCAAACAGACCAUGACAAUAACGUUCUGUAAAAUAGGACCUCACAUUCCUCUGCUGCAUAGGUGAUAUUGUGUUUAGAACAAAUAAUAAUACUAUGAAUGUUCAUAUUAAAUUUAUUAUUAGUUAUCAUUAGUAGCAAGAGCCAUGGGGUCAGUAAAAUUGUUAAUGAUUGCUGUAUUCAUGGACCAGGUGGAAAAGCAAGAUAAGGAGCUCUUGGAACAGCUGCAUCCAGGCUGGUAUUGCACAAAUUUGAGCAGAGGUUGGCAUAUCAUGUUAUAAAUGUCUGAGAUGGUUCCCAAGCAACCUGUUAAGUGUGCUUAUAAUGCACCGUGCUCUGUACUGCCUGUAAGGUAAAUAAAUCUGUCCUUGGCCUAGUGUGCAAUUUAUUUUUUACUUUUCCUGUUCAUUUACUCAGCCUUAAACUCUGCAAACAAAGAUGACAAUUCCUUGCAGCCUUAGACCUUCCCCCAGCAGUCCCUGCCCUUGCUUCAGAAACUGGUUAAUAUUCAAUGGGCUCAUCUCCCCUGCAGGUUUGGGAAGGUUACUUUUGAAGAUUAACUCUCAAAUGAGACCACCUAAAAUUCAUCAGCAUUUCUGUUCCAUAAUGCUGUGAGCUGUCCUGAAACAGAAGUCUGAGGAAAUCACAUGUCCUCCACCAUUUGGAAUCUGUUUUUGCCAAGACCAGCAGCUCAGAGUGAAUUCGAUGUUUUUAGGCUGGUCCUGAGAUACUUAUUAUUUGUGGAUAUCUUAGUCAAGAAUUUCUAAAGUGGCCAAGUUUAAAAAUAAUGCUGGAGCCACCGCCUCCUCAGUAUACAGGUUGCUACUGGGGUUUCAGAAAAGAGUAUAACCUCUCAUCAUGUCAGUAUUUGAUCAGGCAAUACAUGUGGCUUGAUUGGAAACUAAUGGCUGGUAGAAUUCUCAGUGGUUAUGUUCUGUAUGUUAAAAUUAUAGCAAACUAUUGUAGUGUGUACUGGUGACACACUUCUCUUGGUCACUAUGCAUUCUUUAUGUAGAACACAGUAGCUGAGUAUCUCAGAGAACCUUUGAUUUAAAUCUUGUACAUAGCUACAUUAACAGUUAUAUUUCUCUCUUUCUAGUCUUUCUUUAUGAUCCUAGAAGGGGUACCUAUUUCUGGGAAGGGUUGUUUUAUUAGUGUUAACCAACACCUAUAUAACUGUAGCCUUUUGCAUCUUUAAUUAUGGGCCAAGAUUCUAUUGUAAUGAAUACUAUGCAAAUACAAAACAAAACAAAUCAAAACAAAAAAAAAAGAAAAAGACCUCCCAAGUUAUGAAAAGCUCCAAGCUGAGUACAAGACUGUCAGUAAUGACAUAGGAUAAUUGAAAGAAAAUGAGACGUUUUGGUCAGCUUAAUACAUGUUGUUGGCAACAGAGUAAGAUAUCAGUACUUACAAACAGAGUUGCUUGCAGGGUUGGAUAUCAAGGAGUGAGGCUGCAGAGAGUGUAGAAAGAAAGAAACAGAUACAAGAUGUUGCUUGUCUAGUGAUGAAACCUUAUAGAUUUUUCAAGGAAAAAAACCCUGAAAAAUAUCUGAAGUCCAGUAAAAUGCUUAAAACUGUUGAGACAUUUUUCUCUCUACAGUCCAGGAUUAUUCUCCAUUUUCAGCAGUGAACUUAAUAGAGAUUAAUAGCGUAAACAAAGAACUCCCAUGAUACCAGAGCUUACUCUCCAUCAGAAAUGAAGCAGGGAGAAUAACCCUUGAAGUGACGCAUUAUUUGAGCACUGACCUAUGCAAUGGCAACCAGCAGUUUGACAAAUAAAAAAAUAGCAUACAUUUCUGGGUCACACUUUGCAGGGAGAAUAUUCUGAAUUACUAUUCUGUACAAUAAGAUUAUGGGACCAAUAAUGAUUGUUUCUGCAUACUUCCCUUAGUUGCUUUUGCCCAAUACUCUAACAAAUCUGAAAUUACCAUUCUCGCAGUUUUAGCUAGGAAUCAGACCAUCUAGAUAGUGUAUUCUUGGGUCAGUCCUAAUAAUUGUAUUUCUACAUGUAUGUACAAUUGCACUUAAGCAGUCCUGUCCCAUCCACCCUAAUUACAGCCGAGAGUAGAGACGGUUAAUUAAUUAUGGAAGGUUAAUUCUGCAAGGUAUUCUGGGCAAUUGAAAAGCUUAUUGGUCUUCAGCUUCCCUGGCUUAGAUUUUGCAAAAAUAUUCUAAUCAAAUCAAUCCCACUUGCUUCUCAAACCAAAAUGAUACCUGGAUCAAAAUCACUUCUGCUUUGGAAUCUUUUGGAACAUAUUUUGUAGAUUGGAAACAAAAUGUGGUGUGCUUGACCAAACAGUAUAAAAAACAUACAGUGUGGGAAGAAUUCAGACAGUAGGGAGAUAAUUACACUUAUUGUGUUAGCAAUUGUCCUAAGAUAAAGUACAUUCAAGGCCAAAGAAGUGAACAAACAGAUUCAGAAAGUACUGACUUGAGGUCAUUCAUCAUUUUUUCAUACCUAAUUCUUUGGAGCAGCACACAGCCUUGUACUGGGCAAAACCAGAAAAGGUAGUAAAACAGAAAAAUAUGCACAGAGGAGAGGAAAGAAAGCAUAUUUAGUGUGAGUUGGUGAAACAUAACAGGCAGAGAAAACAAUAAUGGAGGAAAGAGAGUAGGGAAAGGAAAAGACAAGGAUAACUUUUUCUGAUAAUAAGAAGAUGUUGAACAGCUGUUCAUCUCUUGUUUUAUUUCAACUAAUAGAAGGUUGAAAAAAAUUUCAGGCCAGCAAUUCCAGAACUAUGGUACAAAUAUCACUAAUGGUAUAAGACCCUCCCAAGACAAUUUAUGACUCCCCAUCAGAGCCUGAUUUAGACACUUUGGCUACUGACACUGGCCAAAAAUAUCGUAAAGCUGUACUUCAAUGAUUUUUCAUGUUGAAAAAAUGUAAUUUCAAGUAAUUUCUGUAUGUGAACUCACACUAUAAAAAUAUUAAAGGUAAAUUAACUCACAGGUAUUUUGAAAUUUACAACAGUUUCUGCACAGUUACCUUUUAAUAAGCAUAAAUAAAUGAGCAUUUUACUUGCAGAUUUCCUUCUA
Molecule: long non-coding RNA, 11373 nt
Organism: Columba livia (rock pigeon)
Lineage: Eukaryota; Metazoa; Chordata; Aves; Columbiformes; Columbidae
Exons: 3
Source: RefSeq, a predicted model, not a curated record